This 253-nucleotide ribosomal RNA is filed under the name uncultured bacterium. RNAcentral's name for it is "partial 16S ribosomal RNA". It matches the Rfam family "Bacterial small subunit ribosomal RNA", at positions 524 to 776 of the family's 1533-position model. The record is from RNAcentral.
UACGGAGGGUGCGAGCGUUGUCCGGAAUCACUGGGCGUAAAGGGCUCGUAGGCGGCCAACUAAGUCAGACGUGAAAUCCCUCGGCUUAACCGGGGAACUGCAUCUGAUACUGGAUGGCUUGAGAUUGGGAGAGGGAUGCGGAAUUCCAGGUGUAGCGGUGAAAUGCGUAGAUAUCUGGAGGAACACCGGUGGCGAAGGCGGCAUCCUGGACCAACACUGACGCUGAGGAGCGAAAGCCAGGGGAGCAAACGGG